GACGAACGCUGGCGGCGUGCUUAACACAUGCAAGUCGAACGGAAAGGCCCUGCUUUUGUUGGGUGCUCGAGUGGCGAACGGGUGAGUAACACGUGAGUAACCUGCCCUUGACUUUGGGAUAACUUCAGGAAACGGGGGCUAAUACUGGAUAGGAGCUCCUGCUGCAUGGUGGGGGGUGGGAAGUUUCGGCGGUUGGGGAUGGACUGGCGGCUUAUCAGCUUGUUGGUGGGGUAGUGGCUUACCAAGGCUUUGCCGGGUAGCCGGCCUGAGAGGGUGACGGGCCACAUUGGGACUGAGAUACGGCCGAGACUCGUACGGGAGGCAGCAGUGGGGAAUAUUGCACAAUGGGCGGAAGCCGGAUGCAGCAACGCCGCGUGCGGGAUGACGGGCUUCGGGUUGUAAACCGCUUUCGCCGGUGACGAAGCGUGAGUGACGGUAAUGGGUAAAGAAGCACCGGCUAACUACGUG
Molecule: ribosomal RNA, 468 nt
Filed under: uncultured bacterium
Lineage: Bacteria
Description: partial 16S ribosomal RNA
Rfam family: Bacterial small subunit ribosomal RNA
Source: RNAcentral